GUUGUAUGGUUAAGUGACUAAGCGUACAUGGUGGAUGCCUUGGCAGUCAGAGGCGAUGAAGGACGUACUAACCUGCGAUAAGCUGUGAGAAGUCGGUAAGAGACGCUAUUACUCACAGAUUUCCGAAUGGGGAAACCCACCCGAGAUAACUCGGGUAUCUGUUACUGAAUACAUAGGUAACAGAGGCGAACCGGGAGAACUGAAACAUCUAAGUAC
RNAcentral lists this ribosomal RNA (216 nucleotides) under Aeromonas veronii. RNAcentral's name for it is "partial 23S ribosomal RNA". It matches the Rfam family "Bacterial large subunit ribosomal RNA", at positions 1 to 209 of the family's 2925-position model. Lineage: Bacteria; Pseudomonadati; Pseudomonadota; Gammaproteobacteria; Aeromonadales; Aeromonadaceae. The record is from RNAcentral.